RNAcentral lists this small RNA (295 nucleotides) under Vigna angularis var. angularis. RNAcentral's name for it is "Non-protein coding transcript". Lineage: Eukaryota; Viridiplantae; Streptophyta; Magnoliopsida; Fabales; Fabaceae. The record is from RNAcentral.
CUUUAAAACAGUGUUGGAGGCACUAGCUAGGGUUUUUUAAGAUGAGAUGCAUCAUCAUCAUCAUCAUCAUCAUGCAUGCUCUUUAAUCACUGCAACUUGUGUUAAAAGUUUCAUCACCAACUAAAUGCCACGAACCACACAUCGAUACGUAUGGAUGCAAUUAUAUAGAAUUAAAGGCAACCAAAAUCAGCAGUAGUUGAGAUUCGCCAAGAGAUUCUUUUGGUUUUCGACAAGAAAAUUGGUGGUUGGAUGAUAAUAGCAUUUAUUUGGUGAGUGACGAGCUACUGUAGACGGA